UACGGAGGGUGCAAGCGUUAUCCGGAUUCACUGGGUUUAAAGGGUGCGUAGGUGGGCAGGUAAGUCAGUGGUGAAAUCUCCGGGCUUAACCCGGAAACUGCCAUUGAUACUAUCUGUCUUGAAUACCGUGGAGGUGAGCGGAAUAUGUCAUGUAGCGGUGAAAUGCUUAGAUAUGACAUAGAACACCAAUUGCGAAGGCAGCUCACUACACGAAUAUUGACACUGUGGCACGAAAGCGUGGGAGUC
RNAcentral lists this ribosomal RNA (246 nucleotides) under uncultured bacterium. RNAcentral describes it as "partial 16S ribosomal RNA". It matches the Rfam family "Bacterial small subunit ribosomal RNA", at positions 524 to 769 of the family's 1533-position model. The record is from RNAcentral.